GGACGAUGUUUAAAAGAUUGGCAAGGAUGCAUAAGUAUGAGAUGCAAUCGUUCUAAGCGUGACCUAACCCCGAUGAUUUAGGAUUAGUGAGUGGUAAUGAUUAGUUCAAGGUGUGUUGCACUUUUAGAGUGAUUCACAAACAAGGUUAUUAUUAGGGUUUGGUUAUCUUAGCAUCAUAAACAAGUGAUAUAAUGCAUCGUACGAUCAUACACACAAAGGAAUAAUGGUUGCAUAACAUGUAAAGAUUAGUUGCCAGUUUUAAGUUCUACAGGACAUGAUUGAUGAUUACUUCAAAAGAAUAACUUUUGAAGAACAUAUUUUCAUAAAGAAGAACUACUACAAGUAGGAGCUAUGUGUUUCUAGGAUUUACUAAGAUUCACUAUUAGGUUAAUUUAAUUCACUAAUUAGGAACUAAUUGGUUACUAAGUAGGAUGGGUCUAUAUACAGCAAGUAUUGGCAUGUGUUAGCUAAACAUGGACAACAAAUUAAAUUACUACGCAUAGUUACUACUAUGGUUGAUCAUAGAGUAUCAUAUCAAAGGAUGAUUAUCAAGGUGAUUCCAUGGGUUAACCAUUAGGGUUUACUGUACCAUCCUAUUUGUCUCACUAAGCAAUCAACAAUGGUUUCCUAAAAUAAGUGAUUCAUUAACCUCAAAUAGAGUUCAGUUGAGUAGAAGCAUGUGGAGUGGGUUACUAUACAAGAUUGGUAUUGUGGUUGAUCACUAUGGUUCUACCAAGUCGUGGGUUAAGAUUAAUUCCAAUGGUGUGGUAUUAAUGAUGGUGUUUAUAGGUCAGUUGUUUAAGUAUCAUGCUCCUAUUAAUCCCCCAUUAGAUGAUUUUAGUAACAAGGUAUGACUAGUUUAAUUAGGUAUAGGGGUUAACUUUGAAUUUAUGAUGAAUGUUUAUCUAAACAAGAAAAUUAACACCUAACUCUAGCUAUGAUCUUUUAGUUAAGGUCCUAUCAUAAAGAUUCUAUGUGCAACUUUCAAACAUAGUCAUGCAUAGCAUGUCAAACAACUUGUUUGGAAUUAAGGAUGUGCCACUCAUGUGGUUUAAGUGUGAUUGGAAUUAUUUGGUUUUAUAUGUGAGUUCAAGCUCAUAAUAUUGUUUUUUUUUUAGAAAAUAAGGUUAUAACACUUUUAUAUCAUACUUAGGUUUCAGGACUUUAUUUUCAAGGUUUUAGGAAUUUACAAAAAGGUACUAAAUUAUGUUGGAUUAAAUUAACUAUUUUAAGUAAAGAAAAUAUUCACAUUCUAUAUUUUCUAGAAGUUUCAUAUGUUCUGUUAUUAAUUAAAAGAAAUCAAAUAAUAAGUUUUAUUUAUUAACUUAUGUCUAAGAAAAACUCUAAUAAUAUUUAUUACUUAAUUAAGGUUGAAAUAAUCUUUCAAACAUUUUAGAAUUCAAUUUGUGAUUUUAUUUUUUUAUUUCUAAUGAAAGAUUUGGCUAGAGCUAGUGAGUCAAUAGUGCAUUAGUACUACACGUAUACGUAUAACCUAGUUAGUUUGGCUAGAACUAGUGCUUCAAUUGCACAUACGCACGUAUAUACAGAGUUACGGACGACGACACACUAAUCAGUUUUGAUUCGGCCCAAAAGUGCACUCACGACACGGCACUCACGACCUCACGCGGCCUGCUCUUUACGCGCAUACGCUUCUUCUCUCUAUCGUUUCCCCAACCUCACACGCGCCCAAACAUUCUGCCGUGACUCCAUGCCCUCCGCCAUGCCGCCUCCCGCUCCUGUCCGAUUCCGGUCCUCCCCGACGCCGGCGUGGUGGGGUUCUGGACCGCCUCGCCGUGCUCUACCUCUCGGUCCAGAUCGAUUUGAUUUUCCAUCUCUACCUCGUCCGCCCCCAAACCUGGAAGCCCUAGCGGCCGCUGGUCGGUUUGGCCGUCGCCGGCCAACCCCCGCGCCGCCGCUGGUCGCUGCUGCUGUCCAGUGAGGCUUCACCCACACCCACCGCCUCGAUGCCGCCCUAGGCGCGAGCGCCGCUCUGCUCUUGCUCACUCCCAGCGCUUCCUGGAGUGGCUCCGCCGCCAUCUCCUCCUGGCCGUUGAUGGCUGCCUUCGGCACCUCUGCUGUCUGACCGGCGGGGAUCCACCAUAUACGCGCCGCCGCCACGACCCAAGCGCCUCCACGCGCGCUCGGCCGAACCCUAGGUUCGCCGGUGUGAUGCUGCAAGCCGCUGCUGCUCCCCAUUGGCGACCCCGCCUCCUCGUCGACCACGAGCCCCAGCUCGAGCUCGUCAUCUCGGUGGUGUCUGGUGAUUUGGUGUGCUGUUCAUGGCGCCGUGUUAUGCUGUUGCGACUACUUCAUCCUCGACGCCGGCUAGACGGUGCCGCGGACGCAACCCCCAGCUGGACGGUGUCGCGGAUGCAACCCCGGCGUCGCUUACCUUGCUACCCCUGUACGACGCUGUGAUCACUUGAACAAGAGGCAAUGAUCUUCAAAUUUAGUUUAGGAUUUGAUUCUCUUUUCUUAUACUUGUAAUUAUACUAUAUUAUUAUUCUUUAUAUUUUUUUAAAGACUUUGUAUUAUUGUGUUAAUAUUAAUAAAGUUGUAAUUUCUCUA
Lolium perenne is the source of this 2568-nucleotide non-coding RNA. NCBI's taxonomy places the organism in Eukaryota, Viridiplantae, Streptophyta, Magnoliopsida, Poales, Poaceae. The record is from RefSeq and is a predicted model, not a curated record.